UGGUUGGCAAGUUCUCCAUCAGGCUCGUGCCGAACAUGACUCCUGAAGUCGUCAGCGAGCAGGUCACAAGCUACCUAACUAAGAAGUUUGCUGAACUGCGCAGCCCCAACGAGUUCAAAGUGUACAUGGGCCACGGCGGGAAGCCCUGGGUCUCCGACUUCAGUCACCCUCAUUACGUGGCUGGGAGAAGAGCCAUGAGGACAGGUUGGACACUCUCCUUGGGGAUGAUGCCGGGCAGGGCCCGUUGCACGUCUGAUAGGACUCUGUUAUAUCGUGUGGGCGCAUAGCUAUGUCGGCGGCACUGCUGUAUCACGGGGGUGCGUACUUAAGUCAGCAUGAGGACAGCCAGUGUGUGCGAUGAGCCUGGACCCCUGGCGGACCUCGAACACGGGUUUGCUGUCCCAGGGCCUUGCACAGGGUC
RNAcentral lists this small RNA (421 nucleotides) under Pongo abelii (Sumatran orangutan). RNAcentral's name for it is "retained intron". The record is from RNAcentral. Lineage: Eukaryota; Metazoa; Chordata; Mammalia; Primates; Hominidae.